UACGGAGGAUCCGAGCGUUAUCCGGAUUUAUUGGGUUUAAAGGGUGCGUAGGCGGUUUGAUAAGUUAGAGGUGAAAUGUCGGGGCUCAACCCCGAAACUGCCUCUAAUACUGUUGGACUAGAGAAUAGUUGCGGUAGGCGGAAUGUAUGAUGUAGCGGUGAAAUGCUUAGAGAUCAUACAGAACACCGAUUGCGAAGGCAGCUUACCAAACUAUAUCUGACGUUGAGGCACGAAAGCGUGGGUAGCAAACAGG
RNAcentral lists this ribosomal RNA (253 nucleotides) under uncultured bacterium. Its description in RNAcentral is "partial 16S ribosomal RNA". It matches the Rfam family "Bacterial small subunit ribosomal RNA", at positions 524 to 776 of the family's 1533-position model. The record is from RNAcentral.